Molecule: ribosomal RNA, 253 nt
Filed under: uncultured bacterium
Lineage: Bacteria
Description: partial 16S ribosomal RNA
Rfam family: Bacterial small subunit ribosomal RNA
Source: RNAcentral
UACGGGGGGGGCAAGCGUUGUUCGGAAUUACUGGGCGUAAAGGGCGCGUGGGCGGGUGGGAAAGUCUCUCGUGAAAGCCCACGGCUCAACCGUGGAAUUGCGGGAAAUACUGUCUGUCUUGAGUCCGGGAGAGGAGGGUGGAAUUCCCAGUGUAGCGGUGAAAUGCGUAGAUAUUGGGAGGAACGCCGGUGGCGAAGGCGGCUCUCUGGCCCGGUACUGAGGCUGAGGCGCGAAAGCUAGUGGAGCAAACGGG